UCUACACAUGAUUAUUCAUUUGUAAAGGCUGGAGGCUGAUUUCCAUUUAUUCCUGACUCUCAUGAGCUUAUUUUUUCCUUGUAAAUAAAAGAAAGAUGAUCAUUUCCAAAGUUCCUCAUUUUUUUUCUUUUUCUUUGUCUUUUUUUUUUCUUUUCUCUUUUUUUUUUUUUUCUUGUUUGUUUGCUAACGUUCCUUUGUCCUAGAAUUUGUUAGCAAAAUUGUCAUAGUUGACAAGUAUCUCCAUAAAUCUAUGUAGUUACAGAGCAGGGUAACAGAAUAUCAGAUUGGGUGUGGAUAACAAAGGGUUCCCUUCAAUUAAACAAGCACUUUGUAAUUGCUCUGGUGAUCAUGACUAAGCUGAUUUCAGACCAACUGCCCUCUGUGCUACCAGAGGAGGAAGGGGAAUUUUUUCAAGGAUCUUUUGGAGAAGCAAUAAAAUCAACACCAGAGGGACAGAUAAAAACUACGCUUCUACUUCUGUCAGUUCCUCCUGCUGUGGUGCUGUGGAUUGUGGUGACCAUGGAGAGAAGUCCUGGCAAAUGUGCUCAGCACUUUGUCUUCAGCCCUUGAAGCAAAGCAUGCACCACCUGCUCUGGGAUUUUGUAAUCACCCAGAAAGGGCUCAAGUGUGUCUCUGGUAAUUACUGGAUCUGCUGGUGGGUGAAGAAGGUCCAGAUAAAAGCCUAGAUGCACAAAAAGGCAAGGCUUUUUGGUGAUAAUCUGCAAGUAGUUCCUGAUAACAUAGUACAUCUUAAGAAAAAGAAAGCUGUACAGCCUCCUAUAAAGGACUAACUUUUACAGAUUAAUAUGCAAAAUGGAGGGAAAAGUCUGCCUGUGUUCCUCCCACAUCACACAGUGACUAUUCAAGGGAGCCUGGAGUUUUGCAAGGAAUCUGAUCUCCCUGCACAGAAAUGUCUGAUGACUGAUCCUGUAUUGGGACACUUAAAUAGUUAUGGAGAUAUGAGGCUUGACAGAAAGAGGCUCUGGAGCAGUGUUGAUGCCAGCGGCUUGGUGGAGGGAGGACUGAGGAGAAGGUGGGUUGCUGAGCCAGAGGGCAGGAAGAGAGAGAAACGGGUUGGAGGCACAGACCGAUCCAGGAAAACGUGGGGACUUUCCACCAGAAAACUGGCAUCUCACCAGGUGAUCCUCAGGUCUGCUGGGAGAGGAUAUUGCUGUUUCCAUCCUUGCUGCAGGGAGCUUUGGCUCCCAGGUAUAGCUAGAUCGCUUCCAGAGUUGUUAUUGCAAAGUAGUGUUCAUACGAACUGGUCUGGGAGGCAAAAAAAUAAAACCCCUUCAGCUGGGUAUGUGACCUGUGGUGAAGUUUAAUCAGCUUUGCGAGGUAUAUUUUGUAUCCUACUGUUUCAAAUAAAUAAAUAAAGCUUCAUGUAAAAAUUAGGCA
RNAcentral lists this long non-coding RNA (1398 nucleotides) under Anas platyrhynchos platyrhynchos (common mallard). RNAcentral describes it as "lncRNA (ENSAPLG00000018672.1)". The record is from RNAcentral. Lineage: Eukaryota; Metazoa; Chordata; Aves; Anseriformes; Anatidae.